AAAAAAAGAUGAUUAUGAAUAAAUAUCAAGAAAUAUGCUAUCAAGACUAAAGCUACUAUUUCCGAAACGCUCUAUAUGUUUCGCGUAUAUUCGCAGUCACUACGCGAAUUUUGGGAUGGCGUGAUGUUUAUUCAGUAAAGCAAUAACGCGUCCGUUUUAUCGUGAUGGCAGAGCGUGCACGACCAUCCUCGUUGAAAUGUUAAUUCGACGCACCACUGCGCAGCAGGGUUGUUAUGACGUUAGAGGAAGCGGAUGGGAGGACGUGGUUGGCACGGCUGAAAUUUUAAUAGCAAAUCUAUCUAGAAAUCUAUGUACGCGCAAAUACAAUCAUGCGUACGUGUGACGAUGGAUAACGAUAUCGGGAGAUGAAAUCCCGAUUCCGACUCAUCAUAUUGAUCCGGAAAUUCCGUCGGUUAAGUAAAAAAAUAAUAUCUUGCAAAUCCCAAGGGAAUAAAUCACGGUGUGCGUUUAAAUAAUUAUGUCGUAUCUCCGCACGAUAUUCAAAUAAGCGGAAUAAGCGGAAAGGAUUACAUUUAUAUAAAUAUGCAUGUAGAUAUGCAUACGUAUGGGUUCGUCGGGGACAGCGAGCUCAAAAAUACAAAGAAUCGUGACUCGUAAAUCGCGCAAAAUUAAUGAAGAAAUUAAAAAAAAGGGACUUUGAGUAUAUGUCGCUAUAAAAAUGCUGAAUGAAAAGCAAUUAAAAUGCGGUAAUUAAAGCCGCAAUAAAGUUAUAAUAAAAUUAAUCCGUUCCGUUAAUCUUCUAAGAGAGCUUUUUCAUUUCUAGAUAAAAAAAUUAAUAAAUUGUUAUUUGCUCAUUGAAUUUAUAUAUUGAGAGUCGGAAUAAUGAAUUAUAUUCAGCAUAAAAUACGAUAACAUUUAUGGAAAAUGAGUUCUUUUUAAAUAAUAUAUUUUCAAUACUAUCUGUGUUUUUUAAUUUCGAGGAAAGCUUAAUCUAAUCAUGUCAAUACUAUGUUAUAUUUAAUCAAUUAUAUUAUUAUUUUAUAUUUAAUCAAUUAUAAAUUUGUUACACCGUGAUAAUGUAUCAGCUGUGCAAUGUUAUUCUGCCCGGUGUAAAAUGAUGUGUACACAACAUGCGUCGACACAAAGUGCUCGGAUGCAGCACUUGUGUAACCGUACGAUGCCAAAGUAAUGCGUCAUUAGCUUGGCAAAGUGAAACCUUGUUGACAUACGUGGUCGUUAAUAUAUAAACCUGAGCUGCACUAAUUAGUACGUGCUCAGACUUUGAUAGCAAUCAGGCACGACAGGUAUCCAAAUUCAAGGUAGACAGAGUGGCGACCGAAAUCACGUGAUCGAGCAUCUUAAUUUUAGCUAAAGUGUUGAUUCGGUUAGGUGACUACCGUGCAAUCGAGACCGAGAUCACCAGCAGUGGGAAUCAAACGUGAAUAUUACUAAUUAAGUGAUGUUAACCAUAAAGACA
Pogonomyrmex barbatus (red harvester ant) is the source of this 1438-nucleotide long non-coding RNA. RefSeq lists it as uncharacterized. The record is from RefSeq and is a predicted model, not a curated record. NCBI's taxonomy places the organism in Eukaryota, Metazoa, Arthropoda, Insecta, Hymenoptera, Formicidae.